RNAcentral lists this ribosomal RNA (447 nucleotides) under uncultured bacterium. RNAcentral's name for it is "bacterial SSU rRNA". It matches the Rfam family "Bacterial small subunit ribosomal RNA", at positions 330 to 793 of the family's 1533-position model. The record is from RNAcentral.
GCCAGACUCCUACGGGAGGCAGCAGUGGGGGAUAUUGCACAAUGGGGGGAACCCUGAUGCAGCGACGCCGCGUGGGUGAAGGAGUGCUUCGGCAUGUAAAGCCCUAUCGGCAGGGAAGAAGCAAGACGGUACCUGACUAAGAAGCCCCGGCUAACUACGUGCCAGCAGCCGCGGUAAUACGUAGGGGGCAAGCGUUAUCCGGAUUUACUGGGUGUAAAGGGAGCGUAGACGGCGAUGCAAGCCAGAUGUGAAAGCCCGGGGCUCAACCCCGGGACUGCAUUUGGAACUGUGUGGCUGGAGUGUCGGAGAGGCAGGCGGAAUUCCUAGUGUAGCGGUGAAAUGCGUAGAUAUUAGGAGGAACACCAGUGGCGAAGGCGGCCUGCUGGACGAUGACUGACGUUGAGGCUCGAAAGCGUGGGGAGCAAACAGGAUUAGAUACCCUUGUAC